RNAcentral lists this ribosomal RNA (254 nucleotides) under Staphylococcus aureus. RNAcentral's name for it is "partial 16S ribosomal RNA". It matches the Rfam family "Bacterial small subunit ribosomal RNA", at positions 25 to 268 of the family's 1533-position model. The record is from RNAcentral. Lineage: Bacteria; Bacillati; Bacillota; Bacilli; Caryophanales; Staphylococcaceae.
CAGGAUGAACGCUGGCGGCGUGCCGAAUACAUGCAAGUCGAGCGAACGGACGAGAAGCUUGCUUCUCUGAUGUUAUCGGCGGACGGGUGAGUAACACGUGGAUAACCUACCUAUAAGACUGGGAUAACAUCGGGAAACCGGAGCUAAUACCGGAUAAUAUUUUGAACCUCAUGGUUCAAAAGUGAAAGACGGUCUUGCUGUCACUUAUAGUUGGAUCCGCGCUGCAUUAGCUAGUUGGUAAGGUAACGGCUUAC